RNAcentral lists this ribosomal RNA (253 nucleotides) under Blautia luti. RNAcentral describes it as "partial 16S ribosomal RNA". It matches the Rfam family "Bacterial small subunit ribosomal RNA", at positions 524 to 776 of the family's 1533-position model. Lineage: Bacteria; Bacillati; Bacillota; Clostridia; Lachnospirales; Lachnospiraceae. The record is from RNAcentral.
UACGUAGGGGGCAAGCGUUAUCCGGAUUUACUGGGUGUAAAGGGAGCGUAGACGGCACGGCAAGCCAGAUGUGAAAGCCCGGGGCUCAACCCCGGGACUGCAUUGGAAACUGCCCGUCUUGAGUGCCGGAGAGGUAAGCGGAAUUCCUAGUGUAGCGGUGAAAUGCGUAGAUAUCGGGAGGAACACCAGUGGCGAAGGCGGCCUACUGGGCACCAACUGACGCUGAGGCUCGAAAGUGUGGGUAGCAAACAGG